This 460-nucleotide ribosomal RNA is filed under the name uncultured bacterium. RNAcentral describes it as "partial 16S ribosomal RNA". It matches the Rfam family "Bacterial small subunit ribosomal RNA", at positions 338 to 795 of the family's 1533-position model. The record is from RNAcentral.
CCUACGGGAGACAGCAGUGAGGAAUAUUGGUCAAUGGGCGAGAGCCUGAACCAGCCAAGUCGCGUGAGGGAGUACUGCCCUAUGGGUUGUAAACCUCUUUUGUACGAGGGUAAACCCCGAUACGUGUAUCGGGUUGAAAGUAUCGUACGAAUAAGGAUCGGCUAACUCCGUGCCAGCAGCCGCGGUAAUACGGAGGAUCCGAGCGUUAUCCGGAUUUAUUGGGUUUAAAGGGCGUGCAGCCGGAGAGACAAGUCAGAUGUGAAAUCCACGGGCUCAACCCGUGAACUGCAUUUGAAACUGUUUCCCUUGAGUGUCGGAGAGGUAAUCGGAAUUCCUUGUGUAGCGGUGAAAUGCGUAGAUAUAAGGAAGAACACCAGUGGCGAAGGCGGAUUACUGGACGAUAACUGACGGUGAGGCGCGAAAGCGUGGGGAGCAAACAGGAUUAGAUACCCCGGUAGUC